CAGUAGCCGCGGUAAUACGUAGGUGGCAAGCGUUGUCCGGAAUUAUUGGGCGUAAAGGGCUCGCAGGCGGUUUCUUAAGUCUGAUGUGAAAGCCCCCGGCUCAACCGGGGAGGGUCAUUGGAAACUGGGAAACUUGAGUGCAGGAGAGGAGAGCGGAAUUCCACGUGUAGCGGUGAAAUGCGUAGAGAUGUGGAGGAACACCAGUGGCGAAGGCGACUCUCUGAUCUGUAACUGACGCUGAGGAGCGAAAGCGUGGGGAGCGAACAGGAUUAGAUACCCCUGUAGUCCCUGUCUCUUAUAC
Molecule: ribosomal RNA, 301 nt
Filed under: uncultured bacterium
Lineage: Bacteria
Description: partial 16S ribosomal RNA
Rfam family: Bacterial small subunit ribosomal RNA
Source: RNAcentral